RNAcentral lists this ribosomal RNA (262 nucleotides) under uncultured bacterium. RNAcentral's name for it is "partial 16S ribosomal RNA". It matches the Rfam family "Bacterial small subunit ribosomal RNA", at positions 524 to 784 of the family's 1533-position model. The record is from RNAcentral.
UACGUAGGGUGCGAGCGUUAAUCGGAAUUACUGGGCGUAAAGCGUGCGCAGGCGGCGCGUUUAAGACAGGUGUGAAAGCCCCGAGCUUAACUUGGGAAUUGCGCUUGUGACUGGCGUGCUGGAGUGUGGCAGAGGGAGGUGGAAUUCCACGUGUAGCAGUGAAAUGCGUAGAGAUGUGGAGGAACACCGAUGGCGAAGGCAGCCUCCUGGGCCAGCACUGACGCUCAUGCACGAAAGCGUGGGGAGCAAACAGGAUUGAGAA